GCCUGGGUGGCUCAGUCGGUUGAACAUCUGAUUUCAGCUCAGGUCACGAUCUCCCGGUUUGGGGGUUCAAACCCCGCAUCAGGCU
Molecule: transfer RNA, 85 nt
Filed under: Felis catus (domestic cat)
Lineage: Eukaryota; Metazoa; Chordata; Mammalia; Carnivora; Felidae
Rfam family: tRNA
About the family: Transfer RNA (tRNA) molecules are approximately 80 nucleotides in length. Their secondary structure includes four short double-helical elements and three loops (D, anti-codon, and T loops).
Source: Rfam by way of RNAcentral